AUGACCGAGGCUAACUUGCACUUGUUCUCGCACCAAUUCGUUGAUGGACCAAACCAGCCAAAUCGCAAUGAGGAAACCUUGCUCCAAACAAGUUUUCCUUUUGGGUUUGGGACAACGAUAGUCCAUGACUGGACUCUUACCGAGACAACAAAUUCCAAAGAUACUGUUGUUGCACGUGCACAAGGCGUGCAUGUCGAGGCUGGUUUGACCAAGGAUAAUAGAUGGUACAUGACUCAUAACAUAGAGUUUGAGCAAGGAAGGUUUGCAGGGUCCACCCUUCAGGUGAUUGGCAUAACGGUGGGUUUGGAAAGUGGUCAGUGGUCCAUUGUCGGUGGGACUGGUCAAUUCAUUAUGGCACAAGGUAUAAUAAGUUUCACAAAUCAUGCCGCCUCUACUUGGGAAGAUGGUAUUAAAGAACUUAAUAUCCGUGUGGGUUUUAUCAUAUGCAUGAUUGCAUGCUGA
RNAcentral lists this ribosomal RNA (462 nucleotides) under Triticum aestivum (bread wheat). Its description in RNAcentral is "partial small subunit ribosomal RNA". The record is from RNAcentral. Lineage: Eukaryota; Viridiplantae; Streptophyta; Magnoliopsida; Poales; Poaceae.